Non-coding RNA from Salvia hispanica, 986 nucleotides. NCBI's taxonomy places the organism in Eukaryota, Viridiplantae, Streptophyta, Magnoliopsida, Lamiales, Lamiaceae. The record is from RefSeq and is a predicted model, not a curated record.
GGUGUUCGAUUUGAUUGUGCUUAAAUGAGUUGAUUUUGGAGGGACAUUAGCUCCCUGAAACGAAAUUCUACAUAUGCGUGCUACUGAUUUCGAGCAUAAAGGCAGCCUAUUGUACUCUUGUUCCAUUUAUGUGUUAAAGCUCUAACAAUGCUACUACUGUUAUGAGAUUUCUAUAGCUAUGAUUCUGUGUUCUUGAGCUAGCAUGAUGUUCUAAACAAGGGCAGAGGGUGUGCUUGUGUUAUAUUGAUUGUGAUUCUUAAGUUGUGGUGUCUCUAUAUGAUGACAUGAAAAUUGAUUGGGAGAAAAAGAAAAUGGAGGUGUAUUACCUCUGGAAAACGAAGGAGUGGCUGACUUUGCGGCUGUUCACUACUUGCUCCACCCUCUAACUCUCUGUUUUUGCUGAAAUUUUGAAGUGUGUGUGAAAGGAGUUGGUAUGUGGUGUGGAGAGGUCUUUAUAGGCUGAGCUUUGGUGUACUAUGGGGAAUUAAUUUGGCUGUUAUACUACCUUGUUCCCUUCUUGCAGAGAUCCCCCUUUUGACUAUGUUUCUGCAGCAAGAUAUACUUGAGAAUUGGCUCUAUUUGAGUACUUAGUACUUGGCUAUUAACUCCCAUUGUUUGCUUGUGGCUGGUGAGAAACAGGUGCUGCAUUAGGGUGGAGGAUUUGCAGGCUGGACUUGCCCCCUUUUGGGUUGGGAGGGGACUUGGGCUGCCAAGCUGCUGUCCGAGACGGGCUUGAUGCCUCGGCCCAACGGGCUGAUCGGAGAGGGCUGCGACUUCCGGCCCGGAAGAAGAGACCCGUUGCCAUUUGUUCCAUGCAUAUUUCAUCUUUUUUUUUUGUUUCUUAGUUGUCAUUAAUUAAGCCUUGUUCUAAGUAUUGUAGUAUUUGAACAUUAGUUGCUCGUUAAUUGCAUUUCGAAAUUUCUAUUCGAAAAUUCGUGAUAUUUUACAAUGAAAAUUCCAAUUGUUUAGUUCAUUUGAUUACUUUA